This 397-nucleotide ribosomal RNA is filed under the name uncultured bacterium. RNAcentral describes it as "partial 16S ribosomal RNA". It matches the Rfam family "Bacterial small subunit ribosomal RNA", at positions 523 to 918 of the family's 1533-position model. The record is from RNAcentral.
AUACGUAGGGGGCGAGCGUUGUCCGGAAUUACUGGGCGUAAAGGGUGCGUAGGCGGUCUGGUAAGUUGGAUGUGAAAUACCCGGGCUUAACUUGGGUGCUGCAUCCAAUACUGUCGGACUUGAGUGCAGGAGAGGAAAGCGGAAUUCCUAGUGUAGCGGUGAAAUGCGUAGAUAUUAGGAGGAACACCAGUGGCGAAGGCGGCUUUCUGGACUAUAACUGACGCUGAGGCACGAAAGCGUGGGGAGCAAACAGGAUUAGAUCCCCUGGUAGCCCACGCCGUAAACGAUGAAUACUAGGUGUAGGGGGUAUAGACUCCCUCUGUGCCGCAGCAAACGCAAUAAGUAUUCCGCCUGGGGAGUACGGCCGCAAGGUUGAAACUCAAAGGAAUUGACGGGG